UAAUUUGAUUGAUAGCAUAAUAUUUAAGCACACUUAGUGUUUAGUCUAGAAUCUGGAGGGCCGCACAAACCCACAGCGGCCCGGAUUUGGCCCACGGGCCUUCAGUUUGACACGUGCUCUAAGGGGAUAUAUCCCGUAAUAAUUAAUAUCACAGAAGGAACUUUGACAGUCAAGGGGGAACUGCUACCCCACAAAACUUCAGGAGUCCACACUGGGAAUAGAACCCCGAAUUGGACUGUAUGAGAUCAAACCCCAUCCUCCCCCUUUAAUAAAAAGUAAACAAGAACAUGUGAUGGUUGCAGCAGCAUCUUCUCAAAAUAAAACUACACAGGGUAAAAUUCCAAAUUACUGGCAAAACUCUAAUCAUACUGGGGGGGGAACUGGUUCCUCCUCCUGCUUUUUCUUUUUUAUAUCCUCAAACAGAUACAGAGCGUUUCCUCGUGGACGGGGAUGGCGUUUGGCUGGAUGUGGAUGGGAGCCAUGGGGCAAGGUCACGGAGCACGAGGCCAAGGGCCAAAGGAACUUGACGUGCUACCAGUGUGGACAUUUUGGACACUGGGCAAAACACUGUGUGAACAUACCAAAGACUGCCAGGUAUGAUCCCCAACAAUCCUUAUGUGAUUCCUGGACAUUGCUUUCAGGGGAAUACUGAGGCCACACAGAACAUCUACUGAAACACUGCUGAGGACCCCGGAGACAAUGUGGGUACAGCAGACCCCAUGUUGUCUGCAACAGUGGAAGGAAAACACACAGACUUCCUGGUUGACACCGGAGCCACACAUUCCACUCUGGACUCUGAUCCUCCUUUUUCUCUGACAUCAAGAACUGUGUCUUUAACAGGGUUCUCAGGGACUGAACAGAGUCAGCUAUUCACGAUGCCUCUGACCUUCAUCUUGGGUAAUCAGAAUAUGAAACAUUCUUUUGUAAGUUCUCCUACGACUCCCAUGAAUUUGCUUGGGCGACACUUGCUGAUAAAGAUGGGAGCUACAAUCAUGUGCUCGGGUGAUGGAAUAAUUGUUGCUUUUCCUGAUGGCACCUCCCUUCUUUGUGGAAAUUUCCAAACAGAAGGACAGUAUCUGAUCCAGCCAGUGGUGUCUGAGUUUGCUGACAUCUAUUGGGGACUUUUAACAAAUUUACCCUACAGCAGCCUAAUGUCAACGUUCUUGGCCUGGAAGCCCUGGCUCCUGUGUCUGCGCUUCUGUGUUCCUCCUCCGGGUCCACCACACGUGACCCUGUUCUGCGACAGAGACGUAUCUGAAUGGUACCAGGAACCUUUCCUUUCCACUUUGGAGGAAACAACCUGGCAGGUAAAAGUCUCGGACAUUUAUGUAGCCCCUGUUGGUGUAGCUGCUGUUGUCUCUUUCGCAAAAAAAAAAAAAAACAAUCAGAAUGGUAUUAAAUGUCUCACAUUUCUCUCUGUUUGCACCCUGAGCACCAAGUGAAAGAAUUGGGCGUGAUGAUGAAACGUUCCCUGGCAGCCACAGAUUCGAUUGCCACAGCAGCACUAGGUCAAGAGCAGCGCAACUGUGGAGCUGCAACUUUCCAGAUUUUAAAUGUAAAAAGUCCAAUCCUUUCUCGGUGUGCCUGGAUGAAAAUGAGGCAUCUGGACACACGUAGAAACUGGUUGACAUCAACAGAUACUAGACGACACAAUUUUGAAUUAAGUUUGCAGAUCUCAUUAAAACAAAUUAAUCCUGUUGACUUCUUACGAUUUGGCCAGUAUCAUUGCAUUGUGUUAAGACUGAAUUUGUAUCUAAAACAUUGAUUGCCAAGUUUAAAAUGUGUUUUCAUUUUGUUCACUAAACAUAUUUCUUUUCAGUUGGUAAGUUUGCAUCCCUUUAUGACCACUAACUACUUUCAUAUUUUGAACUUAAAGAUUUCAACUCUCAAGUACAAAAAGGGAUCUUAAUACUUUAUUUAGGAUUUUAUUUGUCAGUAUUAUAUCUAACAUUUAAUCAUUUAUCUUAUUCUCAUUAGGUUUUGGCUCAUCCAAGCUUUCAUAUUGACCAACAUUUUAUUCAUCUUGCAUUAUUCAAUUUAUAGUUUACCGGCAUUCACAGUAUUAACCUCACAUUGUAUUCACAAAUUUUUUUUUAAUUAAUAGUAAUAUAAAACGGAUUUCAAAUGCCAGCUUCACUUUCUAACAUUUAUUUUUUAAAUUUACUCUUUUAACUCAUUAAUUUCACUUUAUUCAUUCAAAUUGCACAUUUGAAUGCAAGUGUGCAAUUCAAACUGGUGCAACAUUGAUAGUGUGCUAGAAGACAUUGCCUUGAUUAAACUUUGUAGAUCGCAUUACAACUCAAUACUACUGAAUUCUAAUGAAUUUUCUAGAAUAAUUACAUUGUACUUCUACUGAAUUUUUGACAAUAACACUGAUUUGCAUAUUUUUGAGGGUGUUUGUUUCUUAUUCUGUUGAUUACACAUGGUUUUCAUCUAAAAAAAACAAAAAAGGAUCAGAAAAUUUCUUUGUUUACGUUUAAAAUUUUUUAGCAUCAUCUAACAAAUAUUCAUUUUAAGGUUUAUCUUCUUGACUUUUGGUUUAAAAAAAAUCAAAAUUUUCACUAAUGUUUAUUCAUUUCUCAUUUUACAUUUAUUUUUAAAUGAAAUCUAAUGUUUUAUUCUUUUCUUCAUUUUUGCAUUUCUUUCCAGGUAUUAAAUAACAUUUUAUUCAUUUUACAUUUCAGUUACCAUUUAUCCAUGAAAAUUUUGACAAUUGAUGACAUUCACAUUAUUUUGAAAAAAAAUAUAUAUAUAUAUUAUUUAUUUAUUUUUAUUUAUUAGCUGAAUGUUCUUUGUUAGCCUGUAAGAGGAACACUGUGGUUUCUUCCCGCCGCCCAGGGCCAGGGGGCGCUCUGUUCGAUUUUUACCCCAUAAGAAUGGAAUGAAAUGACAACAACAAACAUUGUAAUGGGCCCGGGGAGUUUUCCGAACAGUGGGCAGUGUUUCCUCAGGAUGUGUGAUGCUCCCCAAGCUGUUUGAUGUUCUAUUUGUGGUCUCUUAGAGACCAAAAGGGGGAGUUGUUGAGACGCUUAUCCAGGGUUGCACGUGUACUCAUGCACAUACAGCUGUAUUUCACACAUAGUAUGUUUCAUUUAUGCACAGAGAGCUUUUGGAGGAAUGGAACUUGACCUUGCAUGUUUCACUUUCAAACAAAAGGCUUUCAGUAGAAGUGAAACUUAAGCUGACACCAUGAUAUCAUGGCAUUCCUUAGCUGACGUAGUUCAUCAGACGACCAAUAAGGCGUGUCUUAGAUAUAAAGAAUGGAUCGUCCGUUUUAGAUCAGAUGCUGUUCAGUCCCGGUGUAUUCACGUCACAACCAAUUAGCCUGUGAGGGUAAGCGUCUCUUUCUUUUUAGCGCUAAAAAGAAUAAAAUAAGUAAAGUCUGA
This is a long non-coding RNA of Gambusia affinis (western mosquitofish), 3386 nucleotides long. RefSeq lists it as uncharacterized. The transcript is spliced from 2 exons. The record is from RefSeq and is a predicted model, not a curated record. Lineage: Eukaryota; Metazoa; Chordata; Actinopteri; Cyprinodontiformes; Poeciliidae.